GAAGCAGUCCUAAGUUUUCAAUAACUGCUGAAGUGAGCGCGGGAUGUUUUCAGCAUUCUUAUAAAUAUCCAGGAGGCAGUCUAUCAAUGUAAAUCUUUGAAGAUUAUAUUGGGGACAGUCAAAGAAAAUGUGAUCAAGAGUUUGGAUGGAUAAAUUACAGAAUUGAUAAGUUGGAGAAUCUAAAACACCGAUCCUAAAUAAAUGAGCACCACUACGAGAAUGUCCCAGACGUAACCGACAAAUUUUCUGUGGACAUUUAAGGAUAGAAAAAUGGAUGAUAAUUGUUCUAAAUCAACAUUCACAAUCACAUGCUCCUACAACAUCCAAAAAAACACCAGCCAAUAUCUUAUCGUCAAUCUGGGCACUAUGGAUGUCAAGACAUAAAUGCCGUAUACUCUCACAAGCAGAACGACCACAUCGAAAUCCAAAUUGAUUAUUAGAUUACUGUGUGGAGGAAUGUUGGCUGGAAUUGAAGAAGAUUCAGUUUCCGACACUACCAUGGAAAAUUUUGUGAUUGUAGGCAAGUGAUAGCUGCCCAAAGAGUCCUGAUGAACUUGCCAUUCACAGCACAGGAAUAAUGAAGAUACUAUUGUUAGAUCUAGUCCAUUUGGUCUCCAAGAAUUAGUACCCACUGUAGUUGGUUGAUCAUUAUUUAAGAGCAUUAAGUCAUUAUCAUCCCUUACAUCCAUGAUGUCUCUACCUCUAGAAUUGGUUCUAUUACAACCCCAAAUGGUAUAGUGAGCAUUAAAAUCAACAGCAAUUAUUAGUGGUUUUGGAAUACUAUGCAACAGUCUAUUAAAUUUAGAUUUGUCAAAGUUAGGUACACUGUUGCCAGGACUAUAAAAGCUAACAAUUGAGACGUCUUCUAUUCUAUUCUUCCUACUGUGGCUUCUGUGGAAGAUAUACCACAGAUUUGCCAGAAUCAUGUUAGAUUAGACUACCAAGCUUUGAGUAUGUGUCUUCUAAGUUUAACGGUUAUAAUCGGUGUUCAGAUUACAUAAAGUUUAAUUUUCUAAUAAUAUCUGAAACAAAUAAUAUACAUGCUUGUAAGACUAUAAACGACAUACACAUAUAGAAAUACUUAAAUAAUUAAUUAAUAUAAGUACUAAAUAAUAUUUACAACUUAAUCUUAUUUAUUUUAAUAUAUUUACACAAAAUAUUUACAAAAGGAGUGUAAACUAGGGAGAGGAGACAUUUAACGGAGGUUGGACGGGGGACUUCAGCGGGUAUAUAAUUGUGCAGAGAAGAUCAUGUGGCGUCGUACAUUAUAGCCUCCUAUCAAUAUCUACCAAGAAACACAAAAAACUAUCCCAGCGGUGGAACUCGGGGUAUAUAGUAUAUUCAUAGCUGGCAACAUAUUUUUUAAUGGCGUCUGUUAUGUUUACAAAAUAUUUUGCUGUUAUGACGAAUGUAUUAGCUUAAAUUAAAAGUUGUGAAAUAGUAUUUAGAUGUGAAA
Long non-coding RNA from Leptidea sinapis, 1456 nucleotides. RefSeq lists it as uncharacterized. Lineage: Eukaryota; Metazoa; Arthropoda; Insecta; Lepidoptera; Pieridae. The record is from RefSeq and is a predicted model, not a curated record. The transcript has 3 exons.